RNAcentral lists this long non-coding RNA (223 nucleotides) under Mytilus galloprovincialis (Mediterranean mussel). Lineage: Eukaryota; Metazoa; Mollusca; Bivalvia; Mytilida; Mytilidae. The record is from RNAcentral.
AAAAUUGACUAUAAAGGGCAAUAACUCCUAAACAGGUCAACUGACCAUUUUGGUCAUGUUGACUUAUUUGUAGAUCUUACUUUGCUGAACAUUAUUGCUGUUUACAGUUUAUCUCUAUCUAUAAUAAUAUUCAAGAUAAUAACCAAAAACAGCAAAAUUUCCUCAAAAUUACCAAUUCAGGGGCAGCAACCCAACAACCGAUUGAUCGAUUCAUCUGAAAAUU